AUACGUAGGGGGCAAGCGUUGUCCGGAAUGAUUGGGCGUAAAGGGCGCGUAGGCGGCCUUCUAAGUCCGAUGUGAAAGUCCUGCUUUUAAGGUGGGAAUUGCAUUGGAAACUGGAGGGCUUGAGUGCAGGAGAGGUAAGUGGAAUUCCCGGUGUAGCGGUGAAAUGCGUAGAGAUCGGGAGGAACACCAGUGGCGAAGGCGACUUACUGGACUGUAACUGACGCUGAGGCGCGAAAGUGUGGGGAGCAAACAGGAUUAGAUACCCUGGUAGUCCACACUGUAAACGAUGAGUGCUAGGUGUAGGAGGUAUCGACCCCUUCUGUGCCGGAGUCAACACAAUAAGCACUCCGCCUGGGGAGUACGGCCGCAAGGUUGAA
Molecule: ribosomal RNA, 377 nt
Filed under: uncultured bacterium
Lineage: Bacteria
Description: bacterial SSU rRNA
Rfam family: Bacterial small subunit ribosomal RNA
Source: RNAcentral